GGGGGCGAAAGGGUUUCGACCGAGUUGUGGAGGUUGAUGGCUGCGCAUCGAGGUUGUCAGGAGGCCUCGCUAAAAACCUGGCACAAAAUAUAAAUGCUAGACCAGCAUAUAGACUAGCGGCAUAAGCUGCUACGUUCGUCUGUUACCUUCCCGCAAGUCCUAACGAAAGUUAGGAUGGUGCAGAGCCGAACGUAAAAGUGCGGGAUACCUAAUUUGUGCUAUUCUCUAUGGCAUAGAUAGGGAAUUAAAAAUAGAGAUAGCAUCUAAAAAUCCUGCAGGGUGGAGUUCUGGAUGCGAUAACAAAACCCUGAUACGUGCGUAGAUGCCGCUUCUGAAAUAGCACGGGACGCGGGUUCGAUUCCCGCCGCCUCCACCA
This 376-nucleotide transfer-messenger RNA is filed under the name Planctomycetota. RNAcentral's name for it is "MHYJ01 sp001828445 Standard tmRNA". It matches the Rfam family "transfer-messenger RNA". From Rfam's summary of the family: Bacterial tmRNA, also known as 10Sa RNA or SsrA, is named for its dual tRNA and mRNA-like properties. Its role is to liberate the mRNA from a stalled ribosome. To accomplish this part of the tmRNA is used as a reading frame that ends in a translation stop signal. RNAcentral also lists the same sequence under 1 other name. Lineage: Bacteria; Pseudomonadati. The record is from RNAcentral.